RNAcentral lists this transfer RNA (69 nucleotides) under Stiretrus anchorago. RNAcentral describes it as "tRNA-Asn". The record is from RNAcentral. Lineage: Eukaryota; Metazoa; Arthropoda; Insecta; Hemiptera; Pentatomidae.
UUUAAUUGAAGCCAAAUUAGAGGCCUUUCAUUGUUAAUGAAAUAAUUGAUUAUUCAAAUCCAAUUAAAA